Molecule: ribosomal RNA, 253 nt
Filed under: uncultured bacterium
Lineage: Bacteria
Description: partial 16S ribosomal RNA
Rfam family: Bacterial small subunit ribosomal RNA
Source: RNAcentral
UACGUAGGGUCCGAGCGUUGUCCGGAAUUAUUGGGCGUAAAGGGCUCGUAGGCGGUUUGUCGCGUCUGCUGUGAAAACUGGAGGCUCAACCUCCAGCCUGCAGUGGGUACGGGCAGACUAGAGUGCGGUAGGGGAGAUUGGAAUUCCUGGUGUAGCGGUGGAAUGCGCAGAUAUCAGGAGGAACACCGAUGGCGAAGGCAGAUCUCUGGGACGUAACUGACGCUGAGGAGCGAAAGCGUGGGGAGCGAACAGG